Molecule: non-coding RNA, 215 nt
Organism: Pteropus alecto (black flying fox)
Lineage: Eukaryota; Metazoa; Chordata; Mammalia; Chiroptera; Pteropodidae
Source: Rfam
AAGACUAUACUUUCAGGGAUCAUUUCUAUAGUUUGUUACUAGAGAAGUUUCUCUGAUCGUGUAGAGCACCCGAAACCACGAGGAGGAGCUGUAGCGUCAUCUCCUGAGCGUGAAGCUGGCUUUUGGUGUUGCUUAUUGCAACUGCCAUUGGUCAUUGAUGAUCGUUCUUUCCUUCCUUUGGAAGGUUAAGAGGGAGAAGACGCGGUCUGAGUGGU